Gekko japonicus is the source of this 1888-nucleotide RNA transcript. It is a transcript of the gene named smoothelin-like 1, with no coding region annotated. The transcript is spliced from 9 exons. The record is from RefSeq and is a predicted model, not a curated record. NCBI's taxonomy places the organism in Eukaryota, Metazoa, Chordata, Lepidosauria, Squamata, Gekkonidae.
GGCAGCCGGAGAAGGAGCCAGGAGAAGGAAGCUUAAGAAGGAGAGAGCGAGGUAGAGUGAAGGGAAGACACAGACCGUUCAGUAAGCGCUGCCUCCCUUCCGAUGUCCCCUCUUUCACUGGCAGUCAGCAGUUGGGCCUGUUUGUGUACUUGUCUAGAACUGGAGCUGCAAGUGGCCGCCUGCUUCAUCUUCCACUGAAACAGUAGAGGAACGUGGCAUUAUGGAAGCUGAAGGCAUCAAGGAGCAGGAGGAAGUCCACGGCAGCCAUGGCGCAGGGCAGCCGGAUGACUUAGAGUUUGGGGGAGAGAGUGAGGCAGGGAAAGCAGAGGCUGCUGCUGGGAGUGAGGCUGCAGGAGGGGCAAGGGAGGCAGAGCCUGCAGGAAACGUAGCUCAGGGAGAGGGUGAGGCUGGGAAAGCUGAGGCUGCUGCUGGGAGUGAUGCCAAGAGAGAAAAUCAGCCAGCAGAAAAAGCUUUGGGUGAUGAGGAGGUACAGGAACCUGGAAUUACAGAGAAAGUGAAGGGAGAAGGAGAAACAACGAGCCAAGGCCAGGCAGAGAUGGAAGAUAAGGUGGCCGUAUCUGGAACAGAGCCCGAGGAAGAAGCUUAUGGAAACCAAGAAGAAGUUCAGGAGAAAGAAGAAAAAUCUGGUGACUUGGAAAAUAAUUCCAGCAUGCCUCGCAUUGAGGGCCGAACAGGCAGCACUUCAGAUGAACCUCUUUCACCGGAGCCAGGUGAGGAAGAAGAGCACUGGCCAGAAGUCUCUGCAAGCUCUCCUGAUGAGGGCCCAGAAAGCCCCACGGGAUUCAAAAGCUUGGAGGAAGAUGGCACCAUUUCAAACACAACAGCUGCAGAAACUGCUACGGGGCAAACUACCAGCACUGAAGCGGCCUCUGUGGGGGUUCAAGAGCAGCACCCUGCAGCCGAGGGGGCAGCCACUGCCAAGGAGAAAAAGAUGAGGCCUGCAUUCGACCAACGGGCACUAACCCGGCCACGUAUGCCGCCCAGAGCUCAGUCCCGCAAAGCCAUCGUGGAGAAGUUUGGAGGGGCUGCAAGUGGUCCUGCUCCCAAUGUCAGGAGGAUGGGAGGUGCAAACAGUGUGAAGAGCAUGUUGCUGGAGUGGUGCAGGGCCAAGACCCGUGGCUAUGAGCAUGUAGAUGUCCAAAACUUUUCCUCCAGCUGGAGCAGCGGCAUGGCCUUUUGCGCCCUCAUCCACAAAUUCUUCCCGGACACUUUUGACUACUCCACUCUUGACCCAACAAAGCGCAGAGAAAACUUUGCCCUGGCCUUCUCUACUGCCGAGAAGCUUGCAGACUGUGCCCAGCUUUUGGAUGUGGAGGAUAUGGUGCGCCUGAGCGUCCCUGAUGCAAAAUGCAUCUACACCUAUAUCCAGGAGCUGUAUCGCAGCCUAGUACAGAAAGGCUUGGUGAAGACGAAGAAGCAGUGAAACGAGGUGGCCAGCCUGUAUCUGAGGCCAGUUGGUAACUACAGAGGAAAGUUUGGGGCGGGGAGAAGACAGCAUACGGGAUAUGUCCUGGCCACAGCGCUCUCUCCAUUCUGUGACUUCCUCUGCACACAGCAUUGGAUUGAACAGUAGUAGCUGCCCCCCGCUAAUGCUAAGGGCUACAACACACACAUUUUACCAAUACGCCUGUGAGAUAUUUAGGGAAGAGAUUACUGAUAUCACCUUUGGGCGGGGCGGAAGCAAUCAUCUUCAGCAAUCUGACCUCCAUGAAACCAAAACUGACGGCAUCUGUUCCCAGCAGAUACAGCUUAGAAGGAGCAGAUUCUCUUCUUCUCCAGCAGCCCCACCCCCCUCCAAGCAGGGAUGCUGCUUCUGACUGAGUACUUGUCUCUAUUAAAGCUUCUGCUUUCCUUGUUGUGAACCAAA